AUUGAACGCUGGCGGCAGGCCUAACACAUGCAAGUCGAACGAGUGGCGGACGGGUGAGUAAUGUCUGGGAAACUGCCCGAUGGAGGGGGAUAACUACUGGAAACGGUAGCUAAUACCGCAUACCAUCGGAUGUGCCCAGAUGGGAUUAGCUAGUAGGUGGGGAAAUGGCUCACCUAGGCGACGAUCCCUAGCUGGUUUGAGCGGAUGACCAGCCACACUGUAACUGAGAAACGGUCCAGACUCCUACGGGAGGCAGCAGUGGGGAAUAUUGCACAAUGGGCGCAAUCCUGAUGCAGCCAUGCCGCGUGUAUGAAGAAGGCCUUCGGGUUGUAAAGUACUUUCAGCGGGGAGGCGUUACCCGCAGAAGAAGCACCGGCUAACUCCGUGCCAGCAGCCGCGGUAAUUC
RNAcentral lists this ribosomal RNA (406 nucleotides) under uncultured bacterium. Its description in RNAcentral is "partial 16S ribosomal RNA". It matches the Rfam family "Bacterial small subunit ribosomal RNA", at positions 30 to 526 of the family's 1533-position model. The record is from RNAcentral.